RNAcentral lists this unclassified non-coding RNA (1174 nucleotides) under Hevea brasiliensis (rubber tree). The record is from RNAcentral. Lineage: Eukaryota; Viridiplantae; Streptophyta; Magnoliopsida; Malpighiales; Euphorbiaceae.
GUUUCUUUGAUUUCAAUUAUGAACAUUAGAGGAUUGAAUUGAACAUGCAUAGCAUUGAAAUGACUAGUUAUGUGCUGUUGUAUAUCAAUGGCUGGCAUUUUAAAUUUUGAGAAUUAUGCUGCUUGUCCAAUUUAGAGCUAUGCACUUGCUUUUGGGUCUUGAAAGUUGGAAUGGAAAUGACAAUUACAUGAGAUAUAUUGUGACUUAUCUGCCAGAUAAUUGCAUGAGAAUGACAUUUGCUGAAGCUGAAAUAGAAUAUUGAAGAAUUGAAUGUGAAAUUGUUAAUCCUGAGUGAGGGGUCCCAUUUAGAGCUUGUCUGAAAUUGAGUUUGAAUUUUUUAUUUAUUUUUUUUGGGAAAAAUGUCAUUUCAAAUGCAGUUGAAAAAGGUGGUUUGAAAAAAGCUGUUUUGUUAUAUUGAAAUUCUUAUAACUCAUACAUGUCAAAUUUAAAUUAAAAAAUCAAAAUUAAAAUGUCUCUAAUAAACAUUUUUGUGAUGACGCAUUUCUCAACAACUUAAAUAGUAAACAUGGUAUUUGAGUUUCACAUCCUCUUCUGCUUUACUAACAGUUAGGCACUUUUUGAAUCAUUGUGUUUCUUCUUUAUGAACAGGAUGAAGUUGUCCACUGCAUUAAGCUUAUGUUCUUACUUUAAAUCUAGCACAUGGCAAUCUGACAUAUAAGUAAUGCACAACUUCAUCAAUCAACUUGAUUUUUUUUUCCCUCUCCUUGUUAUCUUUUUAUUGGGAGGAGCAAUCUCAAAAUGAAUUAUUUCAUCCAUUGAACAUUAUUUUCAGCGAUUCUAGGGGGCGCAUUGGGUGCAUGUCUUUGUGAGAGGGUCUGUAAGCUAUUUCACAAAGGAAAGGCAUGUCAGUUUUAAGCAAAAUGUAGAAGGCAGUGAUAAGUUGUGUCCAUAGAUUUUUGAUGGACUUGCGUCUGAGGGUAGAAUUAUUCAUAGCAUGCUCAUACACAGACCCACAACAUUUUUUUUUUAAAAUCCUCAACUAGUUUUGGAAUAAAACUAUUGUGGAACUAAAGUUUUAUUAAAUUGAAAACUUGGAGAUCAGCCUUAAAUUUGGUCAGUGUAAAUGUGAUUAUCCUUGGCCUUUGUGUUUGAAGUCUAUGAGGGCAUUGGAUCUGGUAUUAUUUGCAUCAAUGCACCAAAUAUUAUUUCUUGG